This 486-nucleotide long non-coding RNA is filed under the name Carica papaya (papaya). Its description in RNAcentral is "long non-coding RNA (CPAP_LNC004123)". Lineage: Eukaryota; Viridiplantae; Streptophyta; Magnoliopsida; Brassicales; Caricaceae. The record is from RNAcentral.
AAAAAUUUCUAUAUGAAAUGAGAGUGUUAGAGAAUUAAUGCAUAAAUUAUAUUUACUGUUCUUUUAAAGAUUUUUCAUUGUCUUUGAAUUAAUCAAUUAGUUUGUUGUUAAUGGGUUUAUAGCUCCAUACUUUUAGGAGAACAAUUAGAGAUUAUGCAUAUAUAUGAAUGGAGCAUUUUUCUCUGAUUGUUUGUUUCAAAUUGUUUAUUUAAGGUUGAUUCAUAGUUGAAUAAAUGUAUGCUUUAGAGGCCACAUUUUCUGCAUAUAAAGUGUGACAAAAGUCCCCAUAGUCUUUAUUUUCCAGUAGUCCCAUUUUUUUCUAUUAUUUUAUUCUAAGAGCCUGGAGAAGAAGAAAACCUAAUGUCAGUCAUUUACUAGUUUUUAGAAGCAUGACCUAAGCUCAAGUUUCUCAUAAAGAAUGAUUCAAGUUGAAUGAUUGAAAUGUUAAAUAUAUUUUUCUAGGAUAUGAUCCACAUUUCAAAGGCU